RNAcentral lists this small RNA (475 nucleotides) under Histoplasma ohiense. RNAcentral's name for it is "hypothetical lncRNA". Lineage: Eukaryota; Fungi; Ascomycota; Eurotiomycetes; Onygenales; Ajellomycetaceae. The record is from RNAcentral.
ACGCCGCUCUCAACUGGUUGGGUCAGAUGCGUUCACACUAUCGCAUGGAGCGCGAGCUCACAGGACGGCAACCCACCGAAUUACAGCAGGUCUUGCGCGCAGCAUCUAUCCUCAAGGGAAAAGCUAGAUCCCUUUGGAUGACAGCUGAGAAGUUGAACGCGGAAGCGCCUGACAAGCAUGGGUUACCACGGAAGUGGGACGAUUUCGCAAGAUGGAUCCUGCAUAACUUCGAGGAACUAGACGCCAAAGACAAACGUUACGAACGCUUCGUAGAAUGCAAGCAAGAAGGAGACCUCGCAUCGUACUACAUCCAUUUCAGCUUGCGUUAUCUUGCGAUGAAUCAAGAGCUCCCGACACCUUUCUGUCUACAAACCUUCGUACACGGCUUAGACACCGACCUAUACGCCGAGUGGAAGUGUCUUAACCCACAGCCACAGACGGUGGAGGAAACGUACGAAACACUACUCUCGAGGGA